UUUUUUUUUGAGUUAUUAAGAAUUGAGAAAAGCUAAGAUGACAUUCCGUGAGAGUGACGUUUCCACGUAUACCACAUAUCCACGUGAUAUGCUUGUCAGCCAAAAGUCCAUAUCUGACAUAUAUGGUACAAGUU
Rhodamnia argentea is the source of this 134-nucleotide long non-coding RNA. RefSeq lists it as uncharacterized. The record is from RefSeq and is a predicted model, not a curated record. The transcript has 3 exons. Lineage: Eukaryota; Viridiplantae; Streptophyta; Magnoliopsida; Myrtales; Myrtaceae.